Molecule: ribosomal RNA, 253 nt
Filed under: uncultured bacterium
Lineage: Bacteria
Description: partial 16S ribosomal RNA
Rfam family: Bacterial small subunit ribosomal RNA
Source: RNAcentral
UACGUAGGGUGCGAGCGUUAUUCGGAAUUACUGGGCGUAAAGCGUGCGCAGGCGGUUUUGUAAGCCAGAUGUGAAAUCCCCGGGCUUAACCUGGGAAUGGCAUUUGGGACUGCAAGGCUUGAGUGCGGCAGAGGAGACUAGAAUUCCUGGUGUAGCAGUGAAAUGCGUAGAUAUCAGGAGGAAUACCGAUGGCGAAGGCAGGUCUCUGGGCUGACACUGACGCUCAUGCACGAAAGCGUGGGGAGCAAACAGG